UCAAGAUAAAAAAUAACCAGGAAGAAGGGCAGGAGGAAUUUGCCUUAGAAAGGAUGCAGUGUUCACCUCUUUGGUACAGCUACAGAGAAGAUAGAUAGUAAGAUUCUCCCAUGCUGGGUUUUACCAGGAUGAUUUUGUCCCAAAGAUGGAAACACUCAAUUUAUAAAUACUCAGUUUCCAAUGGUUGCAACUUUCUACCUUGAUCUCCAGUAUAGUACAGACAUCCUGCCGCAUGCUUGAUUUGGGCUCCUUCUCUCCUUGGCAUCACUUGGAUGGGCACUGGCCCUAAAGUGUCCCUGUAUGCUCCUUUCUCUGUUUCCAUGGCUACCCAAACCUCUCA
This 340-nucleotide long non-coding RNA is filed under the name Equus asinus (donkey). RNAcentral describes it as "lncRNA (ENSEASG00005027681.1)". Lineage: Eukaryota; Metazoa; Chordata; Mammalia; Perissodactyla; Equidae. The record is from RNAcentral.